AAUUUAAAUAGUUUAAUAAAAAUAUUGAUUUGUGGUGUCAAUGAUAUGAAUUUUUUCAUUUUAGAUC
RNAcentral lists this transfer RNA (67 nucleotides) under Culex gelidus. Its description in RNAcentral is "tRNA-His". The record is from RNAcentral. Lineage: Eukaryota; Metazoa; Arthropoda; Insecta; Diptera; Culicidae.